This 705-nucleotide ribosomal RNA is filed under the name Triticum aestivum (bread wheat). RNAcentral describes it as "partial small subunit ribosomal RNA". The record is from RNAcentral. Lineage: Eukaryota; Viridiplantae; Streptophyta; Magnoliopsida; Poales; Poaceae.
AUGGAUCCCGAUCCCGCCACUGACACCACUCUUGUUUUUGAAAAAGAUGUACUGGAAACAGUUUUUACUCAAGCUGCACCUUAUGUUGCAAGGCUUAAUAUGCGGCCCGUCCGUACAGACCUCCUUAUUGGAUCAACAGAAUUGCAUGCUUUGGUAUCUGUUGACUCUUCUACGCUGACCGAAUUGCCCAAAUCGGUUCAGUUUUAUAAUCAGAAGAAAGCUGCAAUUGUUCAGAAGAAGGUGGGGCAACUUCCUGGGUGCAGUAUUACUAUCCUGUUUACAGACCGCAUGCACAACCCGCUGCCUCCUGUUCAAUUUGCUGAUUUGGAUCCCAAUGACAAUGUGUGUGAGAAGGUGGUGUCUCUUUUCCCCUAUAUGGAUGGAAUUUCUAUGUUCAAUGGACAUGUUGUGUUAAAUAAUUGCACUUCCAUGGGUAGGGGGGGAACUAUUCAGCCAGGAUCCGCAGACUUGUUUGCAUUUACUUGCACAAACGCGGUCCUAUUUCACAUAGCAAGAAACGAUGAUGAAGCAAAACUGGUAGCAGAACAUCUUCGAAAGAUUGCUGGUGCUGCUGUGUUCAACUUAAAGGGCGAGGUUGUUGGCAUACUAAGUUCGUAUGCUAGAGGUUAUGAUGUGAAACUGGCCAAGAAGUCAUCUUACUUUAAAAAGCACUUUGAUAAACUGGGAGACAAACAAGUGAAGUGA